Long non-coding RNA from Astatotilapia calliptera (eastern happy), 1180 nucleotides. The record is from Ensembl. Lineage: Eukaryota; Metazoa; Chordata; Actinopteri; Cichliformes; Cichlidae.
AUUGGCCUUGGAGGUCAGUUCAUCAUGAUCAUGCAAAUUGUCAUGACCAUUGAUCAGUGGUCAAGAGCACCAUUCACAGAGAGUUGGGGAAUGGCUGCAAUCACAGCAUUGUAAGAUGGCGAAACAUGUACACUUAGACCCUGUUACGUGCCUGUGUUGGUGGGUUAUCUGUUUCUUAAUGUGUGUAUGCAAAUUCACCUCAAUAGCUAUUUGGUUAAAAGGUCGGGCAUGUGUGUGAAGUGCGGAGCAAGUAGGGGUGAGCUGCCGAUUAUUUUGGGAAGCCUUCUUUUCUCCUGUGUUUGUAGACCAGGGAGGUCAGACUGUGUUGUUUCUUUCUUUUCUUUUCCAUAAACAGGUCAGAGGGGAACCGAAGAUUAGGUUGAGUUUUGUUUGUUGUGUUGGCCUUAGCUCACCCCGAAAUUAUACACUCCCACUACUGUGAGUGCCAUUGUUGUCAAUAAACUAUUGUUAAAAGUCCGAUGCUGUGGCUGUGUCUGUUUUUUUUUUUUUUUUUCUGCCUGUCCCAUUUGGUUCUUUAGCCAUCAGAAUUGUUGUCUGAAGACCAACAAGGAUACCCAAUGGAUUUACUUUGCCAAAUGGAUCUUCGUGGCUUUGCCGUAUUGGUCCAUUUGGUCGAUCUUUGUUUUUAUUAUUUAUUAUAUUUUAUUUUCAGAUUUUACAGACGGGACAGACAUGAGUGAGAGAUAGGAAAGGGAGAAAGAAAGAGGAAGGAAAGGAAAAACAGAAGGGGAGAGGGACAGUGAGAAAGGGGGGGAGAAAAAAAAUAAAAAAUCUCCUGGAUCACCUGUUGAGAGAAGAAUAGAAAACAAGCAAAAAAAACAAAAAAAACAAAGCAACAUACUAAACACAACACCAUCACAUUAAUCUAGCUAAGUGUAAACAGCAGUAAAUACUAAAUAUUCAAUGUUGUUGUGCAGCACGCAGGACAGAUGUGCUUCGAAGUAGCAGCCAAGAAAGGUGUAAUUUAAGUCUACGAGCAGUGAACACCCGUGUGCAUACCUGUGUGGAUCAGCGCGCUUGUAUUCCAAAGGUUGGCUGUUUGGGCGUGGGAAGUUACGGGACACCCCGCUCUUGUUACGGUCAUUUUGAGCUGGGUCGUAACAUGAUUUGGGGGCUCGUCCUUGUUGUCUUGUUUUUGUGGUAUGUGGUUUGUUCGGUC